This 467-nucleotide ribosomal RNA is filed under the name uncultured bacterium. Its description in RNAcentral is "bacterial SSU rRNA". It matches the Rfam family "Bacterial small subunit ribosomal RNA", at positions 355 to 825 of the family's 1533-position model. The record is from RNAcentral.
UGAGGAAUAUUGGACAAUGGGCGCAAGCCUGAUCCAGCCAUGCCGCGUGCAGGAUGACGGUCCUAUGGAUUGUAAACUGCUUUUGUACAGGAAGAAACAGUUCUACGUGUAGAACCUUGACGGUACUGUAAGAAUAAGGAUCGGCUAACUCCGUGCCAGCAGCCGCGGUAAUACGGAGGAUCCAAGCGUUAUCCGGAAUCAUUGGGUUUAAAGGGUCCGUAGGCGGUUAGAUAAGUCAGUGGUGAAAGCCCAUCGCUCAACGGUGGAACGGCCAUUGAUACUGUCUGACUUGAAUUAUUAGGAAGUAACUAGAAUAUGUAGUGUAGCGGUGAAAUGCUUAGAGAUUACAUGGAAUACCAAUUGCGAAGGCAGGUUACUACUAGUGGAUUGACGCUGAUGGACGAAAGCGUGGGUAGCGAACAGGAUUAGAUACCCAUGUAGUCCCUGAGCGGGCUGGCAAGGCGCAU